This 460-nucleotide ribosomal RNA is filed under the name uncultured bacterium. Its description in RNAcentral is "partial 16S ribosomal RNA". It matches the Rfam family "Bacterial small subunit ribosomal RNA", at positions 338 to 795 of the family's 1533-position model. The record is from RNAcentral.
CCUACGGGUGGCAGCAGUGAGGAAUAUUGGGCAAUGGGCGCGAGCCUGAACCAGCCAAGUAGCGUGAAGGAUGACUGCCCUACGGGUUGUAAACUUCUUUUAUAAAGGAAUAAAGUGAGUCACGUGUGCCUUUUUGUAUGGACUUUAUGAGUAAGGGUCGGCUAACUCCGUUCCAUCCGCCGCGGUAAUACGGAGGAUCCGAGCGUUGUCCGGAUUUAUUGGGUUUAAAGGGAGCGUAGAUGGGUUGUUAUGUCAGUUGUGAAAGUUUGCGGCUCAACCGUAAAAUUGCAAUUGAUACUGGCAGUCUUGAGUACAGUUGAGGUAGGCGGAAUUCGAGGUGUAGCAGUGAAAUGCUUAGAUAUCACGAAGAACACCGAUUGCGAAGGCAGCUAACUAAACUGCCACUGACAUUGAUGCUCGAAAGUGUGGGUAUCAAACAGGAUUAGAUACCCGAGUAGUC